UUGCUUAGAAGGUAACUGAU
Molecule: small nuclear RNA, 20 nt
Filed under: Arabidopsis thaliana (thale cress)
Lineage: Eukaryota; Viridiplantae; Streptophyta; Magnoliopsida; Brassicales; Brassicaceae
Description: snRNA_09707
Source: RNAcentral